GGCAGGGCGGUAGUACCUACCCGUGCGGACUCAGAAGAGGUCUUACCACCAUAUCUGGUCGGUCCAACGUCUCGGGCCUCUACCUCGUGG
Non-coding RNA from Bombyx mori (domestic silkworm), 90 nucleotides. The record is from RefSeq and is marked provisional. NCBI's taxonomy places the organism in Eukaryota, Metazoa, Arthropoda, Insecta, Lepidoptera, Bombycidae.